RNAcentral lists this ribosomal RNA (464 nucleotides) under uncultured bacterium. Its description in RNAcentral is "partial 16S ribosomal RNA". It matches the Rfam family "Bacterial small subunit ribosomal RNA", at positions 339 to 795 of the family's 1533-position model. The record is from RNAcentral.
CUACGGGAGGCCGCAGUGGGGAAUAUUGCGCAAUGGGGGAAACCCUGACGCAGCGACGCCGUGUGAGUGAUGAAGGUUUUCGGAUCGUAAAGCUCUGUCAGGUGGGAAGAAUAAGGGCCGCGUAAAUAAUGCGGUUCGAUGACGGUACCACCAGAGGAAGCACCGGCUAACUCCGUGCCAGCAGCCGCGGAAUACGGAGGGUGCAAGCGUUGUUCGGAAUUACUGGGCGUAAAGCGCGUGUAGGCGGGUAUGCAGGUCAGAUGUGAAAGCCCUCGGCUCAACCGAGGAAGUGCAUCUGAAACCGCAUGUCUUGAGUACGAGAGAGGCAGAUGGAAUUCCCAGUGUAGAGGUGAAAUUCAUAGAUAUUGGGAAGAACACCGGUGGCGAAAGCGGUCUGCUGGCUCGAUACUGACGCUGAGACGCGAAAGCGUGGGGAGCAAACAGGAUUAGAUACCCUCGUAGUC